RNAcentral lists this ribosomal RNA (506 nucleotides) under uncultured bacterium. RNAcentral's name for it is "partial 16S ribosomal RNA". It matches the Rfam family "Bacterial small subunit ribosomal RNA", at positions 28 to 523 of the family's 1533-position model. The record is from RNAcentral.
GAUGAACGCUAGCUACAGGCUUAACACAUGCAAGUCGAGGGGUAACGAGAGGAAAGCUUGCUUUCCUUGUCGACGACCGGCGCACGGGUGAGUAACGCGUAUCCAACCUGCCCCCAACUAGGGAAUAACCUUGCGAAAGUAAGACUAAUACCCUAUAAUUUCCUCAGAUGACAUCUGACGAGGAAUAAAGAUUUAUCGGUUGUGGAUGGGGAUGCGUCUGAUUAGCUUGUUGGCGGGGUAACGGCCCACCAAGGCAACGAUCAGUAGGGGUUCUGAGAGGAAGGUACCCCACAUUGGAACUGAGACACGGUCCAAACUCCUACGGGAGGCAGCAGUGAGGAAUAUUGGUCAAUGGGCGGAAGCCUGAACCAGCCAAGUAGCGUGCAGGAUGACGGCCCUAUGGGUUGUAAACUGCUUUUAUACAGGAAUAAAGUCAGCCACGUGUGGUUAUUUGUAGGUACUGUAUGAAUAAGGACCGGCUAAUUCCGUGCCAGCCGCCGCCGUAA